Molecule: long non-coding RNA, 224 nt
Filed under: Eucalyptus grandis
Lineage: Eukaryota; Viridiplantae; Streptophyta; Magnoliopsida; Myrtales; Myrtaceae
Description: long non-coding RNA (EGRA_LNC004465)
Source: RNAcentral
CUUCCUCUGGAAAUUGAGAUGCAUAAACAUCCUCUGGGUCUGCAGGUGAACGACUGACUCCUUCACUUGCAUCAGGAUAUGAAGACUUCACUCCUUUCUCCUGAUCUCCCCCUGUUUCCAUGCCUUCAUGUGGAGAAGAGUGUUCCUCAGGUUCUCCUUCUUCUCUUCUUUCUUCUUCAGGUCUUUCCUCCUCUGCUUCUUUUUCAGCUUCUCUUUCUUCUUCU